This 636-nucleotide long non-coding RNA is filed under the name Phoenix dactylifera (date palm). RNAcentral describes it as "long non-coding RNA (PDAC_LNC009696)". The record is from RNAcentral. Lineage: Eukaryota; Viridiplantae; Streptophyta; Magnoliopsida; Arecales; Arecaceae.
GAAGGUGAAUGCAUGUUCGGUGCCAAAGGUACAGCCCUGAUCUCUCUGAACAAUAGUAAAGAUCUUCUAACGAUUGGCUUACUUCACUUAAAGAUUGCCAACAAGGUAAGGCAGCCAUUUUCAACAAUUACCUUCCUUGCAUUUAGAUAUUAGGUUAUAAAUAACGCUUCAUGUACCUUCAUGCUUCAGCCACUACUAGGUAAUCGGUAUAAGCAAACCGUGCUUUAUCUGUAGCAAGCACUCCCAACAUCUCAUGAUCUUAGUCUUGCUUCAACAUACCUUCACUUCAAAGAGUAAUCCUUAAUAUUUAUUUUAAUCCAGUUUGCUGCUUAAGGUUGCCAUCAAACCUUUUAGGUUCUCUUUAUUGUUCUUCAAGUUUACCUGGGCAUUAAAAUACUCCUCGUACGUCACCGUUUUUCAGACUACUCAAUUCGUUAGUUCCAUGUAUCAAUAUCAAAAAGACAUCUCGGCUUUACAAAUUUAACAUAAAACAAUAGCAGAAAGACAAACACCCCAAUUAUAGUUUUGCAUCCCUUGUCAAUGGUUCUCUCUCUUUCAAUGGUUCUCUCCUUCUCUGUCACACUUAAAAUGGUGUGUGUAUUUAUUUCCAUUCAGAUGAAUCAAAUAAUGUGCAUG